RNAcentral lists this ribosomal RNA (238 nucleotides) under uncultured bacterium. Its description in RNAcentral is "partial 16S ribosomal RNA". It matches the Rfam family "Bacterial small subunit ribosomal RNA", at positions 118 to 347 of the family's 1533-position model. The record is from RNAcentral.
UGGGUGAUCUGCCCUGCACUCUGGGAUAAGCCUGAGAAACUGGGUCUAAUACCGGAUAUACCUCAUGGACUGCAUGGUUUGUGGGGGAAAGCUUUUGCGGUGUGGGAUGGGCCCGCGGCCUAUCAGCUUGUUGGGUGGGGUGAUGGCCUACCAAGGCGACGGACGGGUAGCUGGCCUGGAGAGGGUGUCCGGCCACACGUGGGACUGAGAUACCGGCCCAGACCUCCGUACGGGAGCA